Molecule: ribosomal RNA, 1361 nt
Filed under: Lactiplantibacillus plantarum
Lineage: Bacteria; Bacillati; Bacillota; Bacilli; Lactobacillales; Lactobacillaceae
Description: bacterial SSU rRNA
Rfam family: Bacterial small subunit ribosomal RNA
Source: RNAcentral
GGUAUUGAUUGGUGCUUGCAUCAUGAUUUACAUUUGAGUGAGUGGCGAACUGGUGAGUAACACGUGGGAAACCUGCCCAGAAGCGGGGGAUAACACCUGGAAACAGAUGCUAAUACCGCAUAACAACUUGGACCGCAUGGUCCGAGUUUGAAAGAUGGCUUCGGCUAUCACUUUUGGAUGGUCCCGCGGCGUAUUAGCUAGAUGGUGGGGUAACGGCUCACCAUGGCAAUGAUACGUAGCCGACCUGAGAGGGUAAUCGGCCACAUUGGGACUGAGACACGGCCCAAACUCCUACGGGAGGCAGCAGUAGGGAAUCUUCCACAAUGGACGAAAGUCUGAUGGAGCAACGCCGCGUGAGUGAAGAAGGGUUUCGGCUCGUAAAACUCUGUUGUUAAAGAAGAACAUAUCUGAGAGUAACUGUUCAGGUAUUGACGGUAUUUAACCAGAAAGCCACGGCUAACUACGUGCCAGCAGCCGCGGUAAUACGUAGGUGGCAAGCGUUGUCCGGAUUUAUUGGGCGUAAAGCGAGCGCAGGCGGUUUUUUAAGUCUGAUGUGAAAGCCUUCGGCUCAACCGAAGAAGUGCAUCGGAAACUGGGAAACUUGAGUGCAGAAGAGGACAGUGGAACUCCAUGUGUAGCGGUGAAAUGCGUAGAUAUAUGGAAGAACACCAGUGGCGAAGGCGGCUGUCUGGUCUGUAACUGACGCUGAGGCUCGAAAGUAUGGGUAGCAAACAGGAUUAGAUACCCUGGUAGUCCAUACCGUAAACGAUGAAUGCUAAGUGUUGGAGGGUUUCCGCCCUUCAGUGCUGCAGCUAACGCAUUAAGCAUUCCGCCUGGGGAGUACGGCCGCAAGGCUGAAACUCAAAGGAAUUGACGGGGGCCCGCACAAGCGGUGGAGCAUGUGGUUUAAUUCGAAGCUACGCGAAGAACCUUACCAGGUCUUGACAUACUAUGCAAAUCUAAGAGAUUAGACGUUCCCUUCGGGGACAUGGAUACAGGUGGUGCAUGGUUGUCGUCAGCUCGUGUCGUGAGAUGUUGGGUUAAGUCCCGCAACGAGCGCAACCCUUAUUAUCAGUUGCCAGCAUUAAGUUGGGCACUCUGGUGAGACUGCCGGUGACAAACCGGAGGAAGGUGGGGAUGACGUCAAAUCAUCAUGCCCCUUAUGACCUGGGCUACACACGUGCUACAAUGGAUGGUACAACGAGUUGCGAACUCGCGAGAGUAAGCUAAUCUCUUAAAGCCAUUCUCAGUUCGGAUUGUAGGCUGCAACUCGCCUACAUGAAGUCGGAAUCGCUAGUAAUCGCGGAUCAGCAUGCCGCGGUGAAUACGUUCCCGGGCCUUGUACACACCGCCCGUCACAC